This 268-nucleotide ribosomal RNA is filed under the name uncultured archaeon. RNAcentral describes it as "partial 16S ribosomal RNA". It matches the Rfam family "Archaeal small subunit ribosomal RNA", at positions 718 to 982 of the family's 1478-position model. The record is from RNAcentral.
AGUCACUGACAUUAGAUACCCCUGUAGUCCCAGCCGUAAACUAUGCGCGUUAGGUGUACUGGUGACCACGAGUCGACCGGGGUGCCGAAGGGAAACCGUGAAACGUGCCGCCGUGGGAAGUACGGUCGCAAGGCUAGAAACUUAAAGGAAUUGGCGGGGGAGCACCGCAACGGGAGGAGCGUGCGGUUUAAUUGGAUUCAAUACCGUAAAACUCACCAGGGAAGACUGUUACAUGAAGGCCGAGAUGAAGACUCUGCUAGAUUUUCAG